UGAGGAAUAUUGGUCAAUGGGCGCAAGCCUGAACCAGCCAUCCCGCGUGAAGGAUGAAGGUCCUAUGGAUUGUAAACUUCUUUUAUACACCAAGAAAAAGCAGGACGUGUCCUGCCCCGACGGUAGUGUAUGAAUAAGCAUCGGCUAACUCCGUGCCAGCAGCCGCGGUAAUACGGAGGAUGCAAGCGUUAUCCGGAUUCAUUGGGUUUAAAGGGUGCGUAGGCGGCUUUUUAAGUCAGUGGUGAAAUCCUGCCGCUUAACGGCAGAAUUGCCAUUGAUACUGAGAAGCCUGAGUACAAUUGAGGUAAGCGGAAUGUGUAGUGUAGCGGUGAAAUGCUUAGAUAUUACACAGAACACCAAUUGAGAAGGCAGCUUACUAAACUGUUACUGACGCUGAUGCACGAAAGCCAGGGGAGCAAACG
RNAcentral lists this ribosomal RNA (422 nucleotides) under uncultured bacterium. RNAcentral's name for it is "bacterial SSU rRNA". It matches the Rfam family "Bacterial small subunit ribosomal RNA", at positions 355 to 774 of the family's 1533-position model. The record is from RNAcentral.